This 253-nucleotide ribosomal RNA is filed under the name uncultured bacterium. RNAcentral describes it as "partial 16S ribosomal RNA". It matches the Rfam family "Bacterial small subunit ribosomal RNA", at positions 524 to 776 of the family's 1533-position model. The record is from RNAcentral.
UACGGAGGGUGCAAGCGUUAUCCGGAUUCACUGGGUUUAAAGGGUGCGUAGGAGGGCAGGGAAGUCCGUGGUGAAAUCCUAGAGCUUAACUCUAGAACUGCCGUGGAUACUCUCUGUCUUGAAUCCCGUGGAGAUGAGCGGAAUAUGUCAUGUAGCGGUGAAAUGCUUAGAUAUGACAUAGAACACCAAUUGCGAAGGCAGCUCGUUACACGAAGAUUGACCCUGAGACGCGAAAGCGUGGGGAGCAAACAGG